Molecule: ribosomal RNA, 253 nt
Filed under: uncultured bacterium
Lineage: Bacteria
Description: partial 16S ribosomal RNA
Rfam family: Bacterial small subunit ribosomal RNA
Source: RNAcentral
UACGUAGGGUGCAAGCGUUAAUCGGAAUUACUGGGCGUAAAGCGUGCGCAGGCGGCUUUGCAAGACAGAUGUGAAAUCCCCGGGCUCAACCUGGGAACUGCAUUUGUGACUGCAUGGCUGGAGUGCGGCAGAGGGGGAUGGAAUUCCGCGUGUAGCAGUGAAAUGCGUAGAUAUCGGUAGGAACACCAAUGGCGAAGGCAGCUUGCUGGCAUAUUUCUGACGCUAAGGCACGAAAGCGUGGGGAGCGAACAGG